Molecule: ribosomal RNA, 366 nt
Filed under: uncultured bacterium
Lineage: Bacteria
Description: partial 16S ribosomal RNA
Rfam family: Bacterial small subunit ribosomal RNA
Source: RNAcentral
CCUACGGGUGGCAGCAGUGGGGAAUAUUGCUCAAUGGGCGAAAGCCUGACGCAGCGACGCCGCGUGAGGGAUGAAGGUCUUCCGAGCGUAAACCUCUGUCAGCAGGGGAGAACGGUCCCUGUGCUAAUCAGCAGUGAGUUGACGGUACCUGCAAAGGCAGCACCGGCUAAAUCCGUGCCAGCAGCCGCGGUAAUACGGCGGGUGCGAGCGGUAAUCGGAAUUACUGGGCGUAACGCGCUCGUAGGCGGCAUGUCAAGUCAAGGGUGAAAUCCCCGCGCUCAACGUGGGAACUGCAUUUGAAACUGGCAAACGGGAGUGUGUGAGAGGUAGGCGGAAUGCGAGGUGUAGGAGUGAAAUCCGUAGAUA